RNAcentral lists this ribosomal RNA (503 nucleotides) under uncultured Geobacter sp. RNAcentral describes it as "bacterial SSU rRNA". It matches the Rfam family "Bacterial small subunit ribosomal RNA", at positions 335 to 831 of the family's 1533-position model. Lineage: Bacteria; Pseudomonadati; Thermodesulfobacteriota; Desulfuromonadia; Geobacterales; Geobacteraceae. The record is from RNAcentral.
ACUCCUACGGGAGGCAGCAGUGGGGAAUUUUGCGCAAUGGGGGAAACCCUGACGCAGCAACGCCGCGUGAGUGAUGAAGGCCCUUGGGUCGUAAAGCUCUGACAGAGGGAAAGAAAUGUGGGUGGCUAAUAUCCAUUCCACUUGACGGUACCUCAAAGGAAGCACCGGCUAACUCCGUGCCAGCAGCCGCGGUAAUACGGAGGGUGCGAGCGUUGUUCGGAUUUAUUGGGCGUAAAGCGCGUGUAGGCGGUUUUAUAAGUCUGAUGUGAAAGCCCCGGGCUCAACCUGGGAAGUGCAUUGGAUACUGUAAGACUUGAAUACGGGAGAGGGCAGUGGAAUUCCUGGUGUAGGAGUGAAAUCCGUAGAUAUCAGGAGGAACACCGGUGGCGAAGGCGGCUGCCUGGACCGAUAUUGACGCUGAGACGCGAAAGCGUGGGUAGCAAACAGGAUUAGAUACCCUGGUAGUCCACGCUGUAAACGAUGAGAACUAGGUGUCGCGGGUA